GAGAGUUCAAGAGUACGUGAAACCGCAUAGAGCCAAACGGGUGGAUCCGCAGAGUCGACCCGGGGAAUUCAGCCCGGCCGCCAGCGGCGCUCGCAAAGUUCGGAUCCGCAAGGACCGGGCCAGCGGGACGUCCGCGUGGCUGUGGUGCACUUUCUCCGCGGUCGAGUGCUACGACCGGUUUCGAGGCGGUCAGAAGCCCGGCGGAAAGGUAGCGCCGCCCUUCGGGAUGUCGUGUUAUAGGCCGCCGCGGUGGACUCGCCGCGAGACCGAGGACGCUUGCCGCGCCGAGCGGUCCCGGGCCGUCUUGGGAGGUUCGACCUCGGCUGCACUGCUCCGCAGAGCACCGUAACCGCCGCCCUAGCACGGGUCCGGAGACUGCCGGCGCCUCGGGUCAGUAGCGAAUCGGUCGGUCCUCCACCCGACCCGUCUUGAAACACGGACCAAGGAGUCUAACA
Molecule: ribosomal RNA, 455 nt
Filed under: Corbicula sp. form B yy12
Lineage: Eukaryota; Metazoa; Mollusca; Bivalvia; Venerida; Cyrenidae
Description: partial 28S ribosomal RNA
Source: RNAcentral